GUAAGCGAGCGCAGGCGGUUUGAUAAGUCUGAUGUGAAAGCCUUUGGCUUAACCAAAGAAGUGCAUCGGAAACUGUCAGACUUGAGUGCAGAAGAGGACAGUGGAACUCCAUGUGUAGCGGUGGAAUGCGUAGAUAUAUGGAAGAACACCAGUGGCGAAGGCGGCUGUCUGGUCUGCAACUGACGCUGAGGCUCGAAAGCAUGGGUAGCGAACAGGAUUAGAUACCCUGGUAGUCCAUGCCGUAAACGAUGAGUGCUAGGUGUUGGAGGGUUUCCGCCCUUCAGUGCCGCAGCUAACGCAUUAAGCACUCCGCCUGGGGAGUACGACCGCAAGGUUGAAACUCAAAGGAAUUGACGGGGGCCCGCACAAGCGGUGGAGCAUGUGGUUUAAUUCGAAGCUACGCUAAGAACCUUACCAGGUCUUGACAUCAUGCGCC
This 436-nucleotide ribosomal RNA is filed under the name uncultured bacterium. Its description in RNAcentral is "bacterial SSU rRNA". It matches the Rfam family "Bacterial small subunit ribosomal RNA", at positions 561 to 995 of the family's 1533-position model. The record is from RNAcentral.